Molecule: ribosomal RNA, 463 nt
Filed under: uncultured soil bacterium
Lineage: Bacteria
Description: bacterial SSU rRNA
Rfam family: Bacterial small subunit ribosomal RNA
Source: RNAcentral
GGAUUGAACGCUGGCGGCAUGCCUAACACAUGCAAGUCGAACGGGAGUAGCAAUACUCUAGUGGCGGACGGGUGAGGAAUACGUAGGAAUUUGCCCUUAAGUGGGGGAUAACCCGGGGAAACCCGGAUUAAUACCGCAUGACCUCGAAAGAGCAAAGUGGGGGAUCGCAAGACCUUACGCUUUUGGAGAAGCCUACGUCGGAUUAGCUAGUUGGUGAGGUAAUGGCUCACCAAGGCGACGAUCCGUAACUGGUCUGAGAGGAUGAUCAGUCACACCGGAACUGAGACACGGUCCGGACUCCUACGGGAGGCAGCAGUGGGGAAUAUUGGACAAUGGGCGCAAGCCUGAUCCAGCAAUGCCGCGUGUGUGAAGAAGGCCUUCGGUGUAAGCACUUAAGUUGGGAAGAAAAACUCGACUACUAACACUAGUGAGUCUCGAACGUACCGACAGAAUAAGCAACCGG